GCUACUCACCUGAUGUUUCCUGCAGCUGUGCCUAAAACCAGCUGAUUUGCAUGUACCCAAAGCACAGUAAACUUACAUGAGGACUUUUUCAUAGUCAGGUCACACACUGUGCUGGAGUCAGCCUCUCACUGAUCACACAUAGACAUGAUUGUUCCCACUCACCUCCUGGGGUGGCUGCUACUGUGGCUUAUAGGUGCCAAAUGUGACAUCCAAAUGACACAGUCUCCAUCCUCCCUGUCUGCAUCUGUGGGAGAAAGUGUCACCAUCACAUGUCAAGCAAGUGGGAGCAUUUAUGGUAAUUUAGCAUGGUAUCAGCAAAAACCUGGGAAAUCUCCUCAGCUCCUGAUCUAUAAUGCAAACAGCUUGGCAGGUGGGGUCCCAUCGAGGUUCAGUGGCAGUGGAUCUGGCACACAGUAUUCUCUCAAGAUCAACAGCCUGCAGCCUGAUGAUGUUGCAAGCUAUUACUGUCAACAUUAUUUUGGUAUUCCUCCCACAGUGAUUCAAGCCAUGACAUAAACCACUCAGGGAAGC
This is a non-coding RNA of Apodemus sylvaticus (European woodmouse), 531 nucleotides long. NCBI's taxonomy places the organism in Eukaryota, Metazoa, Chordata, Mammalia, Rodentia, Muridae. The record is from the annotation of a RefSeq genome assembly.